GAUGAACGCUGGCGGCGUGCCUAAUACAUGCAAGUCGAGCGAAUGGAUUAAGAGCUUGCUCUUAUGAAGUUAGCGGCGGACGGGUGAGUAACACGUGGGUAACCUGCCCAUAAGACUGGGGUAACUCCGGGAAACCGGGGCUAAUACCGGAUAACAUUUUGAACCGCAUGGUUCGAAAUUGAAAGGCGGCUUCGGCUGUCACUUAUGGAUGGACCCGCGUCGCAUUAGCUAGUUGGUGAGGUAACGGCUCACCAAGGCAACGAUGCGUAGCCGACCUGAGAGGGUGAUCGGCCACACUGGGACUGAGACACGGCCCAGACUCCUACGGGAGGCAGCAGUAGGGAAUCUUCCGCAAUGGACGAAAGUCUGACGGAGCAACGCCGCGUGAGUGAUGAAGGCUUUCGGGUCGUAAAACUCUGUUGUUAGGGAAGAACAAGUGCUAGUUGAAUAAGCUGGCACCUUGACGGUACCUAACCAGAAAGCCACGGCUAACUACGUGCCAGCAGCCGCCGUAA
RNAcentral lists this ribosomal RNA (515 nucleotides) under uncultured bacterium. RNAcentral's name for it is "partial 16S ribosomal RNA". It matches the Rfam family "Bacterial small subunit ribosomal RNA", at positions 28 to 523 of the family's 1533-position model. The record is from RNAcentral.